UAUCAUUUUUUAUUUUUUUCUCUUCUCAUUUCCAUCAUGCUUUCUAUUUAAUAUUUAAUAUAUUUUCAUUAUGCCAAAAAUGUAGCAUAUUGAAAUUUUUGUAAUUUACAUGCAAAUUAUGAAUAUUUUUUGUGUCAGAAUUUGACGUUUGUUUAUAUUUUUGUUGUUGUGGUGUUUUGUUGCUCAAUUCUGUUGGCAUUUAUCAUAAUUGUCUUUGUCGGCGGACCGGGCGCUUGAUAAAUGCCCGACAAAUCGGGAGAACAUGGGUUUCAUAAGAAUGCAUUCGGUAUCUGCCAGAUACGAAACACUCUUGGGGAUUUUAGCAUUGAAAGCUGAAGAUUUUCGCAUUGCUCUGAAGGACGCCGACAACGUUGAUUUGAUUUGGCAUUUCUUCGCUAUCGUAUCUAUAUCUAAAGUAUCUCUCCGUAUCUAUGCAUCAGUGGCAGAUUAUCUGAGUAUCUGUGUACCCCGAAGUGCAUCUGUAUGGCCUGUCGCUGGCGCUCGUUUCGUAUUCGCAUUCGCAAUCCCCCUUCUCUCUAGCCCAUCGAUGUUUUUUUGAAGUUCACAUUUUUAUUUUUGGCAGACAAGGAAUCUCUAUGUUUGCACUAGUUCAUAGAUCAUUUCUUGAUAGAUUUGGGUCUAUAGCUUGUCCUUUGUUAACCAAGAUCUAGUUCGAUCUACCUAUCGAUCGGUAGUGUUUUUUAUUGAUCUAUUUCCCAUGGACAGGCCGAACGAACAGCUGUUGGUAUCGUUGGAACUGCUGGCCAGCCACUGAACUGAUCGCAUCGACGGGGGGCUUAUCGUGCGAUCGUAAAGUGAUCACCGAUUAGAAGGAAGAAGCGCAGCACCCACUACUGCUACCUUCUCUUUCGUCUCCCACCCCUCCUCCCCCGAUCUGGUGGGAGAUCAAAUUGGCAUUGAGGUGACCAAAAACCAAAACCAGAACAAAAAGCGAAAAAUGAUCACCGAGAAAAACAAAUAAAGAACCCCCACACUACACACAUGUGUGUCUGUGUAUAAAUGAUAUGUGAAACAAG
This 1037-nucleotide long non-coding RNA is filed under the name Drosophila guanche. Lineage: Eukaryota; Metazoa; Arthropoda; Insecta; Diptera; Drosophilidae. The record is from RNAcentral.